AGGGGAGCGUUCUGUAAGCCCGUGAAGGUGGCCUGUGAGGGUUGCUGGAGGUAUCAGAAGUGCGAAUGCUGACAUAAGUAACGAUAAAGCGGGUGAAAAGCCCGCUCGCCGGAAGACCAAGGGUUCCUGUCCAACGUUAAUCGGGGCAGGGUGAGUCGACCCCUAAGGCGAGGCCGAAAGGCGUAGUCGAUGGGAAACGGGUUAAUAUUCCCGUACUUGGUGUUACUGCGAAGGGGGGACGGAGAAGGCUAUGUUGGCCGGGCGACGGUUGUCCCGGUUUAAGCGUGUAGGUGUGUGUUCCAGGUAAAUCCGGUUCACUUUAACACUGAGGCGUGAUGACGAGGCACUACGGUGCUGAAGCAACAAAUGCCCUGCUUCCAGGAAAAGCCUCUAAGCAUCAGGUAACAUCAAAUCGUACCCCAAACCGACACAGGUGGUCAGGUAGAGAAUACCAAGGCGCUUGAGAGAACUCGGGUGAAGGAACUAGGCAAAAUGGUGCCGUAACUUCGGGAGAAGGCACGCUGACACGUAGGUGAAGUGAUUUACUCACGGAGCUGAAGUCAGUCGAAGAUACCAGCUGGCUGCAACUGUUUAUUAAAAACACAGCACUGUGCAAACACGAAAGUGGACGUAUACGGUGUGACGCCUGCCCGGUGCCGGAAGGUUAAUUGAUGGGGUCAGCGCAAGCGAAGCUCCUGAUCGAAGCCCCGGUAAACGGCGGCCGUAACUAUAACGGUCCUAAGGUAGCGAAAUUCCUUGUCGGGUAAGUUCCGACCUGCACGAAUGGCGUAAUGAUGGCCAGGCUGUCUCCACCCGAGACUCAGUGAAAUUGAACUCGCUGUGAAGAUGCAGUGUACCCGCGGCAAGACGGAAAGACCCCGUGAACCUUUACUAUAGCUUGACACUGAACAUUGAGCCUUGAUGUGUAGGAUAGGUGGGAGGCUUUGAAGUGUGGACGCCAGUCUGCAUGGAGCCGACCUUGAAAUACCACCCUUUAAUGUUUGAUGUUCUAACGUGGACCCGUAAUCCGGGUUGCGGACAGUGUCUGGUGGGUAGUUUGACUGGGGCGGUCUCCUCCUAAAGAGUAACGGAGGAGCACGAAGGUUGGCUAAUCCUGGUCGGACAUCAGGAGGUUAGUGCAAUGGCAUAAGCCAGCUUGACUGCGAGCGUGACGGCGCGAGCAGGUGCGAAAGCAGGUCAUAGUGAUCCGGUGGUUCUGAAUGGAAGGGCCAUCGCUCAACGGAUAAAAGGUACUCCGGGGAUAACAGGCUGAUACCGCCCAAGAGUUCAUAUCGACGGCGGUGUUUGGCACCUCGAUGUCGGCUCAUCACAUCCUGGGGCUGAAGUAGGUCCCAAGGGUAUGGCUGUUCGCCAUUUAAAGUGGUACGCGAGCUGGGUUUAGAACGUCGUGAGACAGUUCGGUCCCUAUCUGCCGUGGGCGCUGGAGAACUGAGGGGGGCUGCUCCUAGUACGAGAGGACCGGAGUGGACGCAUCACUGGUGUUCGGGUUGUCAUGCCAAUGGCACUGCCCGGUAGCUAAAUGCGGAAGAGAUAAGUGCUGAAAGCAUCUAAGCACGAAACUUGCCCCGA
This 1590-nucleotide ribosomal RNA is filed under the name Salmonella enterica. RNAcentral's name for it is "partial 23S ribosomal RNA". It matches the Rfam family "Bacterial large subunit ribosomal RNA", at positions 1230 to 2802 of the family's 2925-position model. Lineage: Bacteria; Pseudomonadati; Pseudomonadota; Gammaproteobacteria; Enterobacterales; Enterobacteriaceae. The record is from RNAcentral. RNAcentral also lists the same sequence under 1 other name.